This 320-nucleotide ribosomal RNA is filed under the name uncultured eukaryote. RNAcentral's name for it is "partial 18S ribosomal RNA". It matches the Rfam family "Eukaryotic small subunit ribosomal RNA", at positions 1470 to 1796 of the family's 1831-position model. The record is from RNAcentral.
CCCCUAGAUGUUCUGGGCCGCACGCGCGCUACACUGAACAGUUCAACAAGUCUUAACCUUGGCCGAUAGGUCUGGGUAAUCUUUGAACGCUGUUCGUGAUUGGGAUAGACCUUUGCAAUUAUGGGUCUUCAACGAGGAAUUCCUAGUAAACGCAAGUCAUCAGCUUGCAUUGAUUACGUCCCUGCCCUUUGUACACACCGCCCGUCGCACCUACCGAUUGAAUGGUCCGGUGAAAUCUCGGGACGGCGGCUUGGUCGCUUGCGUCCGACUCCUGAAACUUGAUUAAACCAUAUCAUUUAGAGGAAGGUGAAGUCGUAACA